GAUGAACGCUGGCGGCGUGCCUAAUACAUGCAAGUCGAGCGAACGGACGAGAAGCUUGCUUCUCUGAUGUUAGCGGCGGACGGGUGAGUAACACGUGGAUAACCUACCUAUAAGACUGGGAUAACUUCGGGAAACCGUAGCUAAUACCGGAUAAUAUUUUGAACCGCAUGGUUCAAAAGUGAAAGACGGUCUUGCUGUCACUUAUAGAUGGAUCCGCGCUGCAUUAGCUAGUUGGUAAGGUAACGGCUUACCAAGGCAACGAUGCCUAGCCGACCUGAGAGGGUGAUCGGCCACACUGGAACUGAGACACGGUCCAGACUCCUACGGGAGGCAGCAGUAGGGAAUCUUCCGCAAUGGGCGAAAGCCUGACGGAGCAACGCCGCGUGAGUGAUGAAGGUCUUCGGAUCGUAAAGCUCUGUUAUUAGGGAAGAACAUAUGUGUAAGUAACUGUGCACAUCUUGACGGUACCUAAUCAGAAAGCCACGGCUAACUACGUG
This 497-nucleotide ribosomal RNA is filed under the name uncultured bacterium. Its description in RNAcentral is "partial 16S ribosomal RNA". It matches the Rfam family "Bacterial small subunit ribosomal RNA", at positions 28 to 507 of the family's 1533-position model. The record is from RNAcentral.